GUCAGAUGUCGUGGUGAUUUGGCCGGCCGGCUUGCAACCACGUUAAAUAAGUCGCUAAAAAAGGCCGCGCGCACCCGGUU
RNAcentral lists this non-coding RNA (80 nucleotides) under Hyphomicrobium sulfonivorans. The record is from RNAcentral. Lineage: Bacteria; Pseudomonadati; Pseudomonadota; Alphaproteobacteria; Hyphomicrobiales; Hyphomicrobiaceae.